Non-coding RNA from Vigna umbellata (rice bean), 856 nucleotides. NCBI's taxonomy places the organism in Eukaryota, Viridiplantae, Streptophyta, Magnoliopsida, Fabales, Fabaceae. The record is from RefSeq and is a predicted model, not a curated record.
AGGGAGCGGCUUAAGGGAUGUGUAAGGGUAAACCGUGAAUGGUUAGAGGGAGAAAAGAGGAAAGCCGUGAGAUUGUUGAUCUACGGUGUGGUGCAAAGGAGUGUCUGUGUGUGUACUACAAGAUGUAUGUAUAUAACACAAACAGGUCCUUCUAUGGAAACACCAACCCACACACACACACCCAUUUUCGUUCUAUCACAACAUCAACCUGCUUCCUCUUCAACCCUUUUUUUUUCUUCUCUUCUUUUCCUUCACCUCUCACGCUUCCCCUCCAAUUUACAACACUAAUUCACAUAGCCCAAACUUUCAUCUUCAGGAUCUGACUUUUUCAAACAUACAAUGGGGUUAGCCAUUUAGACAGCAUCAAUAUCUAUCUCUUCUUCUUUUCUUCCUCCUUUUGCCCACCCACGACAACCAAACUUGUAUUUAUCUCCAAUCCUUUUUUCUUUCUCCCAAUUUUGUUGGCUCAUUUAUGUUUUCAGAUGCAUGUUCCAAGAGUGUUUUCAUGAGUUUGUCCGAAUUCCGUUUUAAAUUUUCAACUGAAAUCUGUUCUGGAGAUUUCCUUUGAUCAUUGCGAUUAAUAAGUUGCAGAAGAUUUCCAGUUUUGAAGAUACAUUUUUCGUGAGAAAAAAAGGGUUUUGAAGCUUUGAACUUUCUGCUUGCCUGUAAUUAGAGAGACGAUCGUUUCUUGCUUGGGUGUAAAGACUGAGUUUAUAUCCAUCGUCGCUGAUAGAAGCUUUGAAAUGUCAUUAUUACUUGAAUUUUCAACAUAGAUUUACAUUUUCCAUAGCUUCAGAACUGAAAUCCCGGCACUUUUCCUUCAGCCGUACGAAGUUCUGGCCGGACCCGAUUUAGG